Molecule: ribosomal RNA, 1462 nt
Filed under: uncultured Bordetella sp.
Lineage: Bacteria; Pseudomonadati; Pseudomonadota; Betaproteobacteria; Burkholderiales; Alcaligenaceae
Description: partial 16S-23S ribosomal RNA intergenic spacer
Rfam family: Bacterial small subunit ribosomal RNA
Source: RNAcentral
UUCGAUUAUGGCUCAGAUUGAACGUUGGCGGGAUGCUUUACACAUGCAAGUCGAGCGGCGGCACGGACUUCGGUCUGGUGAGUGGCGAACGGGUGAGUAAUGUAUCGGAACGUGCCUAGUAGCGGGGGAUAAUACGCGAAAGCGUAGCCUAACCUGCAUGCGCCCUUCCAGGGAAAGCAGGGGGACGCCGGGCCUCGCACUAUUAGAGCAGCCGAUAUCGGAUUAGCUGAGUUUGGUGGGGUAACGGCUCACCAAAGGCGACGAUCCGUAGCUGGUUUGAGAGGACGACCAGCCCUGGGACUGGGAACGGCCCAGACUCCUGCGGAGGCAGCAGUGGGGAAUUUUGGACAAUGGGAAACCUGAUCCAGCCAUCCCGCGUGUGCGAUGAAGGCCUUCGGGUUGUAAGCACUUUUGGCAGAAGAAACGGCACGGGAUAAUACCCCGUGCAACUGACAACCUGCAGAAUAAGCACCGGCUAACUACGUGCCAGCAGCCGCGGUAAUACGUAGGGUGCAAAGCGUUAAUCGGAAUUACUGGGCGUAAAGCGUGCACCAGGCGGUUCCGGAAAAGAUGUAAAUCCAGAGCUUAACUUUGAACUGCAUUUUUAACUACCGAGCUAGAGUGUGUCAGAGGGAGGUGGAAUUCCGCGUGUAGCAGUGAAAUGCGUAGAUAUGCGGAGGAACACCGAUGGCAAGAGAGCGGCCUCCUGGGAUAACACUGACGCUCAUGCGAAAGCGUGGGAGCAAACGGGAUUAGAUACCCUGGUAGUCCCACGCCCUAAACGAUGUCAACUAGCUGUUGGGGCCUUGAGCCUUGUUAGCGCAGCUAACGUGAAGUUGACCGCCUGGGAGACACGGUCGCAAGAUUAAAACUCAAAGGAAUUGACAGGGACCCGCACAAGCGGUGGAUGAUGUGGAUUAAUUCAGUACGGCGCGAAAAACCUUACCUACCCUUGACAUGUCUGGAAUCCCGAAGAGAUUUGGAGUGCUCGCAAGAGGGCAGGGCUGGGUGCUGCAUGGCUGUCGUCAGCUCGUGUCGUGAGAUGUUGGGUUAAGUCCCGCAACUGAGCGCAACCCUUGUCAUUAGUUGCUACGAAAGGGCACUCUAAUGAGACUGCCGGUGACAAACCGGAGGAAGAUUGAGGAUGACGUCAAGUGCCAGCGGCCCCACUUAUGGUGGAAGCUACACGUCCAUGCAAUGGUCGGGACAGAGGGUCGCCAACCCGCGAGGGGAGCCAAUCCCGAAACCCGAUCGUAGUCCGGAUCGCAGUCUGCAACUCGACUGCGUGAAGUCGGAAUCGCUAGUAAUCGCGGAUCAGCAUGUCGCGGUGAAUACGUUCCCGGGUCUUGUACACACCGCCCGUCACCAUGGGAGUGGGUUUACCAGAAGUAGUUAGCCUAACCGUAAGGAGGGCGAUUACCACGGUAGGAUUCAUGACUGGGGUGAAGUCGUAACAAGGUAA